AGGUCCAUGAGGUUCUGGACCAUGUGGUGAGCUCCAUCUCCACCAAGGAGCAGGAGAUCCAUGAGGUUCUCCAACUUCACCACGUGGUGAGCUCCAAUUCCACCAAGAACCAGGAGGUCCACGAGGUUCUCCACCACGUGCUGAGCUCCAUCUCCACCAAGAACCAGGAGCUCCAUGAGCUUCUCCACCCUCCCCUCGUGCUGAGCUCCAUCUCCACCAGGAACUCCUGGACAGAGAACAUCCAGGGAUUGUCUCCAUCCAUCCCCACCCGGACAAGGAGAAGUCCUCGAGGUCCACCCCGACCUUCUGGCUGUGUCACCGCCCGGUUCCUCUCUGGGGGGUCCCGAGGAACAUCCUGGUCCUGAGGGAUCUCCAUGGGGUUGAGGAGGUCACCUGGACACCAGGGGACCUCAGUGACAAUUGUCCACCCCGGGGAGGAGACCUGGGAGGUGCCCAUGGGAGCGGUGGCCGAUUGUCCAUCCUGGAGGAGCCGAUGUCCCCUCGUGUCCCCGUGUCCAUCCUGUCCCACCACGUUGGCACCACCAGGACCUGUCCUGGAGCCACCGGGGCUGCCCGGCCCUGUUGGAGCUGUCCAGGACCUCCCAUCUGCUCCUGGUUCUCCUGGGGCCAUCCUGGUGUCCAUCAGCUCCUGGGGCCAUCCUGGUGUCCACCAUCAGCUCCUGGAGACAUCUUGGGGUCCACCAUCAACUCCUGAACCCAUCCUGGUGUCCACCAUCAGCUCCUGGAGACAUCUUGGGGUCCAGCAUCUCUUCAUGGUUCUCCUGAACCCAUCCUGGUGUCCAUCACCAACUCCUGGAGACAUCUUGGGGUCCACCAUCAACUCCUGGACCAAUCUUGGUGUCCACCAUCUCCUCCUAGUCCUUCUGAAUCCAUCUUGGUGUCCACCAUCAACUCCUGGAGCCACCUUGGGGUUCAUCAUCUCCUGGUUCUCCUGAACCCAUCCUGGUGUCCAUCAUCUUCUCCUGGUGUCCAUCAUGUUCUCCAGGUCCUCCAAGACCCAACUUUGGGUCCAUCACCUCCUCCUGCUUCUCCUGGGCCCAUCCUGGUGUCCAUCAUCUUCUCCAAAUUCUUCAUAUCUCUCCUUGGUGUCCAUCUCCUCCUUCUGGACCCAUCCUGGUGUCCAUCAUCUUCUCCCAGUCCUUCAUAUCUCUCCUUGGUGUCCAUCUCCUCCUGCUUCUCCAGGACCCAUCCUGGGGUCCAUCAUCUCCUCCAGGUCUCUCCUUGGUGUCCAUCAUCUUCUCCUGCUGGGCCCAUCCUGGUGUCCAUCAUCUUCUCCAAGUCCUUCAUAUCUCUCCUUGGUGUCCAUUUCCUUCUACU
Molecule: long non-coding RNA, 1338 nt
Filed under: Zonotrichia albicollis (white-throated sparrow)
Lineage: Eukaryota; Metazoa; Chordata; Aves; Passeriformes; Passerellidae
Description: lncRNA (ENSZALG00000007639.1)
Source: RNAcentral